This 254-nucleotide ribosomal RNA is filed under the name uncultured prokaryote. RNAcentral describes it as "partial 16S ribosomal RNA". It matches the Rfam family "Bacterial small subunit ribosomal RNA", at positions 525 to 777 of the family's 1533-position model. The record is from RNAcentral.
ACGGGGGGAGCAAGCGCUGUUCGGAUUUACCGGGCGUAAAGGGCGCGUAGGCGGCCACCGCAAGUCGACUGUGAAAUCUCCGGGCUUAACCCGGAAAGGUCAGCCGAUACUGCGGGGCUAGAGUGCAGAAGGGGCAACUGGAAUUCUCGGUGUAGCGGUGAAAUGCGUAGAUAUCGUUUGGAACGCCAAUGGUGAAAACAGGUUGCUGGGAGUGUGCUGACGCUGAGACACGAAAGCCAGGGGAGCGAACGGGA